CUUUCUCCGCCGGCGACCGGCGUACGGGUGAGUAACGCGUAUCCAACCUGCCCUUUACUAUGGGACAGCCCGUCGAAAGGCGGAUUAAUACCGUAUGUUGUCAUGUUGAUGCAUAUUUUCAUGACCAAAGGCUUCGGCCGGUAAAGGAUGGGGAUGCGUCUGAUUAGCUUGCCGGCGGGGUAACGGCCCACCGGGGCGACGAUCAGUAGGGGUUCUGAGAGGAAGGUCCCCCACAUUGGAACUGAGACACGGUCCAAACUCCUACGGAAGGCAGCAG
This 277-nucleotide ribosomal RNA is filed under the name uncultured bacterium. Its description in RNAcentral is "partial 16S ribosomal RNA". It matches the Rfam family "Bacterial small subunit ribosomal RNA", at positions 79 to 354 of the family's 1533-position model. The record is from RNAcentral.